Molecule: RNA transcript, 4219 nt
Organism: Sapajus apella (tufted capuchin)
Lineage: Eukaryota; Metazoa; Chordata; Mammalia; Primates; Cebidae
Gene name: protein FAM91A1-like
Exons: 2
Source: RefSeq, a predicted model, not a curated record
GAAACAUGUAGCUGUUCAGAUGACCCAGUCUCCCAUCAUUGCUGCUCCUGUGCUCGGUUGAUCCGGGCCAAGCCGAGCAGUCAGGAGCCCAGUACAUGGGGCAGACCAGGCCUUCCACAGUGUGAGAUGCUAGGCCUCCCACAGGGCUUCCCUGACAGGCCACAGCAAGAGGUGUAGGGUGGGUCGCAGUCACAGACCCCACCACCGGCCCUGGCCAUGGCAUUAUGAAUAUAGACGUGGAGUUCCACAUCAGGCACAACUACCCCUGGUGCAAGUUGCCAGCCAACAUGAGACAGAGACUUGGAAAUUCACAGAGAGAAUAUGAAAAGCAGGUUGUCCUGUACAGUAUCUGCAAUCAGUUACGAUAUUGAAAUAAACAUGUCAAGCAAGAUGAACACAGAUACUAUGAGGAACUGCUAAAGUACAGCCAAGAUCAUCUCAUGCUGUACCCUUACCAUUUAUUGGAUAUUAUGGUGAAAGUCUUGAGGAUAACACCAUUUUCAUCUUAUACUGGGAUUAUGGAGGAUAUUAUGAAUAAUGAGAAAAGUUAUGAUUCAUUGCCCAAUUUUACUGCUGCUGUCUAAGGCUUCUUGGCAUAGGAAGAAACCAGUAUAUUGACCUUAUGAAUCAGUGUAGAUCAUCAAAAAAAUUCUUCAGAAGGAAAACAGCCAUAGUCUUCUACCAAUAAAGCCAAUGGAAAUUGCCAUAGAGGCGUGGUGGGUGGUGCAGGCUGGAUAUAUCACAGAAGAUGACAUCGAGAUAUGCAUUUUGCCUGAGAAAUUCACUAUUGAUAAGAUCAUCCAUUCAGGUCCUCAACUCUCUGGAUCACUAGAUUACAAUGUAGUAUACAGUUUCUAUAACAAAGGAUUUAUAUAUCUGGAUGUACCAAUAUCUGAUAUUUGUAUAGCAGUUCCUCCUCUUGAAGGUGUUGUAAUGAAUCAAGUGCAAGGUGAUUAUAUUGAAACUCUAGAAGAUAUUUGUUUCAAUAGAUGAGCACACAAAUGUUGCAGAGCUUGCAAAUGUCCUUGAGAUUGACUUAACCCUGGUUAAGAAUGUUGUUUCAAUGUAUUGCCGAUUGGGCUUUGCCCAUAAGAAGAGACAAGUAAUAAAUUUGGAUCAACUUCAUUCAUCAUGGAAGAAUGUUCCAUCCGUAAACAGAUUAAAGAGUACCUUAAGUCUGCAGAAGAUGCUCUUGUCAUGGGAUGGAGGGGAAAGUAGGAGUCUUGUACAAGAAGCUUCAUCGGCAACUGACACUGAUACAAAUAGUCAAGAAUAUCCAGCUGACAUAGCCAGCAUAAGAAGCCUGAGUCUGUCUACAGGACACACAAGUGCAUUUCAUUCCUGUUUGACUCCACUCUUACUGCCUUCUUAAUGAUGGAAAAUCUUUCACCAAACUUGAAAAGUCAUGCAGUCACAAUGUUUGAAGUACAUAAACUCUCAGAUGAGUCUCUGGACAGCUUUCUAAUAGAACUAGAAAAGGUUCAGAGCACUGGUGAAGGAGAAGCACAGAGAUAUCUUGAUCAUGUACUUACUCUGAGAAACACAAUACUGUUUCUGUGUCAUAACAAAGAUCUAGUUGCACAAACUGCACAGCCAGACCGACCAAAUUAUGGUUUUCCUCUGGAUCUCCUACACUGUGAAAGCCUUCUUGGUUUGGACCCUGCAACUUGCAGCAGUGUUCUAAAUAAAAAUUGCAUGCUGCUUGUUUCCAUGGCUCCCCUCACCAAUAAAAUCUGGCCCAUCAGCAGCUGCACCCCUCAGCAUAUUGAACCAGCUAUCCCAGAAGUCAGCUCUGUCUGGUUUAAACUGUACAUUUAUCAUAUCACUGGGCAAGGACCACCAACCCUUUUAUUGUCCAAAGGUACAAGACUUUGAAAACUGCCAGAUACAUUUCAGAGUUAUGAUUGAUUACUAACAAUAUCUUGGGAUCAUGAUCCUGGAGUAGUUCCUAUCAAAUGUACUCAUGAUGUUGAAUGAUGCUUUAACACAUUCUGCAGUUUUAAUGCUCUGCAUGCAAUAGGAGAAACUGUCCAUGUUCCAUUUCCAUUUGAUGAAACAGAAUUACAAGGAGCUUCACUCAUGUUCAUAAAGCAUUGCAGAUAUUAAGGGAAAAAAUGGACUUACACCAUUUCUGUGGCUAUGUCACUAUGUUGAAUGCUUCCAGCCAACCUGCAAAUAGAAAACUCAGUGAUGCUUCUGAUGAGAGAGGAGGACCUGAUUUGGCUUCUGGCCCAGAUGUAAAUGGGAGCACAGAAUCAUUUGAAACAGCCACUGAGGAAGCAACUAUAUAUUCAGCAACAAAGCAAACCUCUGAUUCCACAACGGAAGCAGAUUGGGUUCCUCUUUAGCUGUGCUUUGGAAUUCCACUGUUCAGUUCUGAAUUAAACCAGAAAGUUUGUAGGAAAAUUGCUACACAUGGCCUUUGCAGAAAAGAGAGCCUUCAAAACCUCUUACAUUCUAGUAGAAAACUCUCUGCAAGUCCUUAACUUUGUUCACUCAUUCCAGGAAGGUGCUUCAACAUUGGAUAUUCACAAUGAGCUAGUUUUUCAAGUUUGCUUUCACAGUCAUCAUACACUGACAUGGGUGUUCCACUUCCUGCAAAAAGCUUAAUAUUUAAAGAUGGUGUCUUAUCAGACUGGAGUGGAUGGCCACCUUCCUCAUUUCUUAUUGCUAAUCUCCCUUUGCAAUAAUUUGGUUAUACCAUUUGUUGCUCACACGUUCUGCCUUUUUGUUUCUUAAUGUUAGCUUUAUAGUGUCAGCCACUAAAAAGUAUCUUGCUGCUGCAGUGCAAUUCUUGCUUAACUAAUAUUAAAAGUUUGGGGAACAUAUUCAUGUUUUCUGAAAUUUUGCUCAUUAUUGCACCAAAGUGCUUUUUAGCAGCAAACACUGUAUUUUUACCUUGAGACAAUCUGCAUUUCUUUUAUAAAACUAAGUAUUUAUAGUUUUAUGAUGACUUAUGUUUAUAAGCAGUCACUAUGAAAAUUGCAAUGGUAAUUUUAUAUGUUAGCUUAUCAAACAUCAAUCAUAUUGAAUUUUAUAUUUGGUUAAAUCUUAUUUAAUUUUAUAUUUUGUUACCUAUACUUUGGGUGAUCAAGGGAAGAGAUGGGAUUCUUCCUCUGAAAAGGCUUCUUGCUACUUAAAGUAGUAAAACUAUAAAACAGUAAACAUCCAGUAUUGAGAGAUGAUAUGAUAGGUCAUUAUGAAUUCCUAUGGGUGUCUGUAAAUUAUGCAUAGUUGGACAUUGUAGAUGGUAUGUAAAUCAGCAUAGUUCUGUAUAACUUAACCUUGAUUCAUAAGGUCUUAACUCAGGUUAUGCUAUUCAUUAACAUCUCAUGAAAAGCUUUAGAAAAAUUUCAAUUUUUAAACAUUAUUUAUAUGUGGACUUCUGUUGUCACUGACUUUGAGCUUUAUAUUUUCAUAGAGUCUUUAUGGAAAAAAUAGAAUUUAUUUUCCACUCUUGUAGCUAUGGCUGCUGCACAUUUUCACCCUGAUUUAUUUUUUUGUUUCUUAGCUUUGAUGUUUUCAAACCAAGGAUUGUGAUUUUAGGUUAUAAUUACAUUUUAGAAGCAUUAAGGCUAUGUCUUUGGAUCAAAAUCCUGUAGUGAUAAACCUACUUUGAAGACAUACUCUUAAGCAGUCUGGAUCUUAAAUUUAUGUGAAUACUUUUUUAGAAAAUGAUGAAGAAAAAUUGAAUUAUUUCAAAGUGUUCCUUGAGACAUUGAUUUUUUUAGUAUUGCAAAUGUUAAUUAGAAUAAUUGGAAUCACUUUUUAGACUUUUCAAGUUACCUUCCUUGGGAAGUUUGUGCAGUGUUAUAAUUUAGUUUAGCUCCUCUUAUAGGGCAAUGGUUUGCUAGUUUAAUUUUGUAACCAAACUAACCGGUCAGACAACAUGUAUCUAAAACACUUAAAAUGUUAGCAAAUUUGGGAAUGUUAUAAAUCUUUUUCCUGAUAACUUUUUGUUAUUUAUAGAUAUUUGUGUAUUUAACAUACUUACUUCUGGAAAUAUAUGCCUUUCCUAAAACUUAACUAUGUGUUCAAUACCUUGGCCUGUCUAUAGAAUUGAAUAUUUUGGACCAUGUUAUCUGUGGCACAGUCAGUGCUGUGUUUGGGGUAAAUGCAGUAAUGGUUAGUUUUCUACUUUGUCUUAUAGAAGGUAGAAACCAUGUGCAUGUUAUGUUUGUCUAUAAAAGAAAAAAUACUAGUGUUAAAUAAUUUCUUA